CAGUUUCCGUAGGUGAACUGCGGAAGGAUCAUUGUCGAAACCUGCCCAGCAGAAAGACCCGCGAACAGGUUGAGCACUCACCCGGGGGGA
RNAcentral lists this ribosomal RNA (90 nucleotides) under Broussonetia papyrifera (paper mulberry). RNAcentral describes it as "partial 18S ribosomal RNA". Lineage: Eukaryota; Viridiplantae; Streptophyta; Magnoliopsida; Rosales; Moraceae. The record is from RNAcentral.